UGCUUAGCUUGACAAAUGGAGCUAUUGGCUUUGAAUUGUAUUGUGGAAAUGUAUUACCAACAGAGGUGCAGGUGCCAGCCUAUUGAAAUAAAGCGUCAAUGAGGGUGAGAAUCCUNCUUGUCAUGUGCAGCCCCUUGUGNACGGUGUAUAUUUGCUGAGUCACACUCCUUGGCAUUGGAAUGCAAAGUGGGUGGUAAGUUUCAUGUAAAGGUAAACAUGCAAUUGAGACUGAUAGCACACAAGUACC
Molecule: ribosomal RNA, 247 nt
Filed under: Crypthecodinium cohnii
Lineage: Eukaryota; Dinophyceae; Gonyaulacales; Crypthecodiniaceae
Also listed under: 2 other names
Rfam family: Eukaryotic large subunit ribosomal RNA
Source: RNAcentral